CCUACGGGGAGCAGCAGUGAGGAAUAUUGGUCAAUGGGCGCGAGCCUGACCCAGCCAAGUAGCGUGAAGGAUGACUGCCCUACGGGUUGUAAACUUCUUUUAUAAAGGAAUAAAGUGAGGCACGUGUGCCUUUUUGUAUGUACUUUAUGAAUAAAGAUCGGCUAACUCCGUGCCAUCAGCCGCGGUAAUACGGAGGGUCCGAGCGUUAUCCGGAUUUAUUGGGUUUAAAGGGAGCGGAGAUGGGUUGUUAAGUCAGUUGUGAAAGUUUGGGGCUCAACCGUGAAAUUGCCAUUGAUACUGGCAGUCUUGAGUACAGUUGAGGUAGGCGGAAUUCGGGGUGUAGCGGUGAAAUGCUUAGAUAUCACGAAGAACUCCGAUUGCGAAGGCAGCUUACUAAACUGCAACUGACAUUGAUGCUCGAAAGUGUGGGUAUCAAACAGGAUUAGAUACCCUUGUAGUC
This 460-nucleotide ribosomal RNA is filed under the name uncultured bacterium. RNAcentral describes it as "partial 16S ribosomal RNA". It matches the Rfam family "Bacterial small subunit ribosomal RNA", at positions 338 to 795 of the family's 1533-position model. The record is from RNAcentral.